UGAAAUGGUGCGUGGUGAGACCUGGCUCCCAAACACAAGCUAGAAGACAACCAAACAGCAACCAGGAAACGCUCUGAAAAAGCCCUAGAUAGCUGCCAGGCCCAGCUCAAGGGAGCAGAACUAAAGUUACAUGAUUCUGCUGUGGAUGUAUGAGCUCCACUCCAAUAAUUUAUUAUCAUGGUUGGAGACUUUGACUUGUCACUUUAUGACUUGAAAUAUGGCUCCAUGGUAAAUGCCCAUGAAGCUGAUUUUUAAAAUAUGGAUAUUACAGAUCUAAUUCUCACUUAGUUUAAAAGGUAGAAUAGGGUUCUCGUUUCAUAGAUCAUUUGUGUGAAUGUUGAUUUGUCAUGUCAUUGACAUCAUACACACAUGCUUACAUUUUGGAGGUUGCUAGUGUUUCCCAUUAAUGCUUCUGAAUUGAUGCCAAAGGAAAGCAUUGAUUAUAAAUUAGGUUCCUUGGUAUUAGUUGGUGCAUGAUCCUGACCCUUUUCAAGCUAUAUGAAAGGUAAUGAUGCUCUCAAAAGUCUGCAAAAUGGCUUAUUCAGGAAAGCAUAAUGGAUUAAAAAUCCAUUA
RNAcentral lists this long non-coding RNA (573 nucleotides) under Pongo abelii (Sumatran orangutan). RNAcentral's name for it is "lincRNA". Lineage: Eukaryota; Metazoa; Chordata; Mammalia; Primates; Hominidae. The record is from RNAcentral.